This 399-nucleotide ribosomal RNA is filed under the name uncultured bacterium. Its description in RNAcentral is "bacterial SSU rRNA". It matches the Rfam family "Bacterial small subunit ribosomal RNA", at positions 28 to 429 of the family's 1533-position model. The record is from RNAcentral.
GACGAACGCUGGCGGCGUGCCUAACACAUGCAAGUCGAGCGAGUGGAUCUCCUUCGGGAGUGAAGCUAGCGGCGGACGGGUGAGUAACACGUGGGCAACCUGCCUCAUAGAGGGGAAUAGCCUUUCGAAAGGAAGAUUAAUACCGCAUAAGAUUGUAGCUUCGCAUGAAGUAGCAAUUAAAGGAGCAAUCCGCUAUGAGAUGGGCCCGCGGCGCAUUAGCUAGUUGGUGAGGUAACGGCUCACCAAGGCGACGAUGCGUAGCCGACCUGAGAGGUGAUCGGCCACAUUGGGACUGAGACACGGCCCAGACUCCUACGGGAGGCAGCAGUGGGGAAUAUUGCACAAUGGGGGAAACCCUGAUGCAGCAACGCCGCGUGAGUGAUGACGGCCUGGUGUAAG